GACGAACGCUGGCGGCGUGCCUAAUACAUGCAAGUCGAGCGAAUGGAUUAAGAGCUUGCUCUUAUGAAGUUAGCGGCGGACGGGUGAGUAACACGUGGGUAACCUGCCCAUAAGACUGGGAUAACUCCGGGAAACCGGGGCUAAUACCGGAUAACAUUUUGAACCGCAUGGUUCGAAAUUGAAAGGCGGCUUCGGCUGUCCCUUAUGGAUGGACCCGCGUCGCAUUAGCUAGUUGGUGAGGUAACGGCUCACCCAGGCAACGAUGCGUAGCCGACCUGAGAGGGUGAUCGGCCACACUGGGACUGAGACACGGCCCAGACUCCUACGGGAGGCAGCAGUAGGGAAUCUUCCGCAAUGGACGAAAGUCUGACGGAGCAACGCCGCGUGAGUGAUGAAGGCUUUCGGGUCGUAAAACUCUGUUGUUAGGGAAGAACAAGUGCUAGUUGAAUAAGCUGGCACCUUGACGGUACCUAACCAGAAAGCCACGGCUAACUACGUGCCAGCCGCCGCAGUAA
This 515-nucleotide ribosomal RNA is filed under the name uncultured bacterium. RNAcentral's name for it is "partial 16S ribosomal RNA". It matches the Rfam family "Bacterial small subunit ribosomal RNA", at positions 28 to 523 of the family's 1533-position model. The record is from RNAcentral.